Molecule: ribosomal RNA, 490 nt
Filed under: uncultured bacterium
Lineage: Bacteria
Description: partial 16S ribosomal RNA
Rfam family: Bacterial small subunit ribosomal RNA
Source: RNAcentral
AUUGAACGCUGGCGGCAUGCUUUACACAUGCAAGUCGGACGGCAGCACAGAGAAGCUUGCUUCUUGGGUGGCGAGUGGCGAACGGGUGAGUAACAUAUCGGAACGUACCGAGCAGUGGGGGAUAACUAAUCGAAAGAUUAGCUAAUACCGCAUAUCCUCUGAGGAAGAAAGCAGGGGACCAUUUGGCCUUGCGCUGUUUGAGCGGCCGAUAUCUGAUUAGCUAGUUGGUGGGGUAAAGGCCUACCAAGGCGACGAUCAGUAGCGGGUCUGAGAGGAUGAUCAGCCACACUGGGACUGAGACACGGCCCAGACUCCUACGGGAGGCAGCAGUGGGGAAUUUUGGACAAUGGGCGCAAGCCUGAUCCAGCCAUGCCGCGUGUCUGAAGAAGGCCUUCGGGUUGUAAAGGACUUUUGUCAGGGAAGAAAAGGGCGGGGUUAAUACCCCUGUCUGAUGACGGUACCUGAAGAAUAAGCACCGGCUAACUACGUG